CUGACAAGACUGUUUUCUAUUUCAGCAUUGUUUCCUUUAACCUCUAUAAUCGUAACCAUGUGUUUUGUAUUGUAACCAGUGUAACAGCGUAGACUUGUAUCAAUAUAGGAUCUUGGUGUGACACUAGUGGUGGAUUUGUGGUGCAUGUGUGGGUGUGGCUUUGCAGGGUGUGUUUGUGGAGUGAUUUCAUGGUGAUGGGCUGAUCUGAAACAGGUGUGCUGGAUGUGACUUUCAGCCAGCUUAACUACCCCCACCCAGGUUCAGUCUCCCUUUGUUCUCCUCUGUGGCAGUGGCAGAAGGUUAGUGUGGCGCGGGCUGAGGUAUCCUUGGGACGGCAGGUCGGACUGGAAGGCAGCAAGAGCUGAGUCGCAGCAGGUGUCAGUGCACAGUACGAGGCACCAGCAGCAGAGUGUAGCACACUGAGCCAGCACACCAGCCGACUAGCCAGAUCCAGCCUGGUGGCCCUGAAGCCCAGCCACUCACCAGACCACACACCUUCAGCCAUCUUUCCUCCAGUCUUUUAGAGUGACUGUUCCUGGACACUUUACACCAUGACAACCAACAAAGGUCCGGUCACUGUGGCAACAGGCUGAGCAGAGUAUUUCAGACAUCACUCUCCCUAGCAACGUUUUCCAGCUCAUCCUGGGGGAUUCCAAGACGUUCCCAGGCCAGAUGAGAUAUACUGUAUAAUCCCUCCACAUGUGAAAUGUAAAAUUUUACACGUGAAAUGGCAGAAAACCACAUGUGCCUUAUGUGUUUUUUUUUUAAUUACAUGUAAAAUGUGUUUCACAUGCAGUAUAUAUAUAUGUGCAUAAAUAGUUCAUGUGAAAUCAUGUCAUGUGAUCUCCUAGAUGUACCUAAAUGACAACUUGUCACAUGUGAAUUAUAUGUGUUGCUGUCUGUUUUCCACCGAAAUAUGUGAAAAAUAUAUGUGCCUUUAUCAUCUCAAUUUAUCAUGGGAAAAUAAAAACACAUUUACAUAUGAAAUAGUUUUUAACAUGUGAUAGAAUCAGAAUGUGUUUCACAUGUGAUGUUAUUUAUUAAGUUGUUGUUUUCACAUGUAAUUUCUGCCAUUUUAUAUGCCAUAUCAUCAUGUAAUUUCACAUGUGGAUUGUUCAAAAACCAUAUGUUCGGAUAUUAGUUUCAUAUUUGGAACGUACAGAAUGUGCUUCACAUGUGAUAUUACAUGUGAAGUGCUUUGCACAUUUUAUUUCUUAAAGGUGUAAUAUCUGUGAGAAUGAUCUCACACAUGUCCUCGUGAAGCUAAUUUAUCACAUGUGAAAUGUCCAAAACGUACAUGUGCUUGUACAGUAUGUUCACCUGUACAGAUGUAAAACAGUGUUUUCACAUGUGAAAUGUAGUUGUCAUUCUAUAUUGCAUGUAAAAUUACUGUAAUGCAAUUUAUUACAUUUCAUGUGCUUUUCACUAGUUACAGUUUUAGUACGACAUUGAUUGUCUGAAACUGGAACUGACUUAGCAUGUGUUGUUUUGUUUAUUUAUUGUAAAGAACUUUUGUAUUCAUGAUUUUAAAAUUAAAGAGGAUUUAAGAAAUA
Long non-coding RNA from Lates calcarifer (barramundi perch), 1553 nucleotides. RefSeq lists it as uncharacterized. The record is from RefSeq and is a predicted model, not a curated record. The transcript has 2 exons. Lineage: Eukaryota; Metazoa; Chordata; Actinopteri; Centropomidae.